This 74-nucleotide transfer RNA is filed under the name Danio rerio (zebrafish). RNAcentral describes it as "tRNA-Ile (AAT) (tRNA-Ile-AAT-56-1)". It matches the Rfam family "tRNA". From Rfam's summary of the family: Transfer RNA (tRNA) molecules are approximately 80 nucleotides in length. Their secondary structure includes four short double-helical elements and three loops (D, anti-codon, and T loops). Lineage: Eukaryota; Metazoa; Chordata; Actinopteri; Cypriniformes; Danionidae. The record is from Rfam by way of RNAcentral.
GGCCGGUUAGCUCAGCUGGUUAGAGCGUGGUGCUAAUAACGCCAAGGUGGCGGGUUCGAGCCCCGUAUUGGCCA